GGAAUGCGCGCAAUUUUACUGUAACGAAGCCGAAGUGGGAAAGGCCAUAGUGGAAAGCGGUAUUCCACGAGAGGAUCUAUUUUUGGUAUCCAAAGUCUGGACGACAACAAUUGAGCAAGGCCCGGAGGCAGUCCGCAAACAAUUGAUGACCACA
Molecule: non-coding RNA, 154 nt
Filed under: Entomoneis paludosa
Lineage: Eukaryota; Bacillariophyta; Bacillariophyceae; Surirellales; Surirellaceae
Source: RNAcentral